GAUGAAGAACGUAGCGAAAUGCGAUAAGUAAUGUGAAUUGCAGAAUUCAGUGAAUCAUCGAAUCUUUGAACGCACCUUGCGCCCUUUGGCUAUUCCAAAGGGCAUGCCUGUUUGAGUAUCAUGAACACCUCAACUCUCAUGGUCUGCCAUGAUGAGCUUGGACUUUGGAGGUCUGCUGGCCUGUGGUCAGCUCCUCUCAAAUGAAUCAGCUUUCCGGUGUUUGGUGGCAUCAUGGGUGUGAUAAAUAUCUACGCUUGUGGUUUUCCACCAGGUAACCUUCAGUGAUGGGGGUUCGCUGGGGCUCAUAAAUGUCUCUCCUCAGCGAAGACAGCUUUGUGAAUGUUUGAUCUCAAAUCAGGUAGGACUACCCGCUGAACUUAAGCAUAUCAAUAAGGGAGGA
Molecule: unclassified non-coding RNA, 400 nt
Filed under: soil metagenome
Description: partial contains 5.8S ribosomal RNA, internal transcribed spacer 2, and large subunit ribosomal RNA
Rfam family: 5.8S ribosomal RNA (bases 1-121)
Source: RNAcentral